RNAcentral lists this non-coding RNA (304 nucleotides) under Schistosoma margrebowiei. RNAcentral describes it as "Eukaryotic large subunit ribosomal RNA". It matches the Rfam family "Eukaryotic large subunit ribosomal RNA", at positions 2777 to 2997 of the family's 3401-position model. Lineage: Eukaryota; Metazoa; Platyhelminthes; Trematoda; Strigeidida; Schistosomatidae. The record is from Rfam by way of RNAcentral.
AAGGAUUGCAGAAACAACUAUUCUAGCCACGGUAGUUGUGCCGUGCUUUGAUGUGGCCUGUUCCACUCCAGAAAGGUCAAUCGGCUUCACCAACUUAUUUGACUGGAAAGGGCACCACAGUGAUAAAUAGCUUGUGGCGGCCAAGUGUUCAUAGCGACGUCGGUUUUUGAUCCUUCGAUGUUCGCUCUUUCUAUCAUUGUGAAGUAGAAUUCACCAAGUGUUGGAUUGUUCAUCCACUAAUAGGGAACGUGAGCUGGGUUUAGACCAUCGUGAGACAGGUUAGUUUUACCCUACCCUAUCAAGG